This 1577-nucleotide long non-coding RNA is filed under the name Fukomys damarensis (Damara mole-rat). RNAcentral's name for it is "lncRNA (ENSFDAG00000023089.1)". The record is from RNAcentral. Lineage: Eukaryota; Metazoa; Chordata; Mammalia; Rodentia; Bathyergidae.
CCUCAAGGGGAAUUGAAAAGCGGCUCCGGAGACUCAGCCCUGACAGUCCCGGGGCGGCCAGGGCGCCACCUGCUGGCUUUGGAGGAGGCAGCCGGCUGAUCCCCGCUCCUCUCCCGAACCCACAGUGAGGCCAGAGGUUCGAUAGUCCCACGUCCGGCGUGGCUAGGAAGCCGCAGCCCAGGCUCCUCCGCUCCCUGGGCCCCAGAGCUGGACCGAAUGGUCCCCCAGUGUCGCCGCCGGAGCGGUAGGAAAUCUGGAUGCUAGAUCUGGAUCUUGGCCACCCGGGGAACUGCUCUGCGACACAAAGCCGGCGGCUUGCAGGCCUAAAAGAUUUAGAGAAUUUAGGUUAUCAGGGAUUUGCAGUGCCUUCCCAAAGAGGAAUCUGCAUUGAACUCCUUGGGCACUUGGCUGACACCUAAUGAAUGCUGAGGUCAUUUCCCCCUGAGAAUCUGCCUUCCACCUUCUGUGCCUUGACUUGCAUAAUGAGAUGAAACAAGCCAGAGAAAUCCCAUGUUGCUUGCUCCAUGUAACACAGGAUUAUUUUAGGACCAAAACAUUUAGGAGAAGAAUGAAUACAUCUCAGAAACUCCAGGACCAGGGCAGUGACCUUCAUUUCUGGGACAGUAGGUUCAUUCUGGACCACAGAUAUUCACUAAAUGACUUCUAUGUGCCUGGCACUGUGACAACAACUGGAGACAGAAACAGUGUGGCCUCCACUCUCAGGUGCUUAUGCUGUUCUCUGGGAGGGUCUUCAAAAGACAGACAGCGGCCAGGCAUGAUGGUGGUACACACCUGUAAUCCCAGCACUCAGGAGGCUGAAGCAGGAGGAUCACUGUGAGUUUGAGACCAGCCUGGGCUACAUAGUGACUUCCAGGUCAGUCUCAACUACAUAGUGAGACCCUGUCUCAAAAAAAAAAAAAAAAAAAGACAGCCACCAGUCUCAGCAGCCAUGCUGCAAAGAAAGGAGAGGAGGCUCCAUUUAGAUGAUGCAUGGACAAAGAUGCAUGAAACCAGUAAAUAAAACAUGAUGUCAUCCACAGCACCCCUACUCAGAGCCCAAGUCUGUUCAUGGCCACCCUGUUGACUUGCUGUGUGAUCUGGAAUAAACCCAUCCCUCUCUGAUCCUCCCCACAGCCACAUCUGGGGAGUGAAGAGGGCUAGCUCUGUCUUCUCUGAAGACCUUUGCAACUCUAGCUUCUAUGACUCCCCCUUCCCUUCUUCCGCCAGUCCUGUCUCCAAGGCAGACAUGGGCAUGCACAACUGGUUGAAGCCGUCACUCCUAGGCAAGAGGGAGAGGAUUCUGUGGCAUCUCACUCUACCCUCCUCAGGCUAAAACCAGCUGGUAGAAUCCAACUUUGCCAACACCAGCUGUGUGACACCAGUCAAGUUACCUAACUUCUCUGAGCCCCCUUGUCUCUAAAAUCAGAAGUAUCACAGUGCCUAAUUUAUACAUCUGCUAAAAGGACCAAAUGAGCUACUCAUAUAUUCACAGUGUGCUUGACACACUGUAAUAUUCAGUAGACAUUAAUAAUUAUUAUUCUGGGGUUUUGGUGAGAAAGGAAAUUAAAAAACAGCAC